Molecule: ribosomal RNA, 289 nt
Filed under: uncultured bacterium
Lineage: Bacteria
Description: partial 16S ribosomal RNA
Rfam family: Bacterial small subunit ribosomal RNA
Source: RNAcentral
AAAGCUCUUUCGCCUGUGAUGAUAAUGACAGUAGCAGGUAAAGAAACCCCGGCUAACUCCGUGCCAGCAGCCGCGGUAAUACGGAGGGGGUUAGCGUUGUUCGGAAUUACUGGGCGUAAAGCGCGCGUAGGCGGAUUAGAAAGUUGGGGGUGAAAUCCCGGGGCUCAACCUCGGAACUGCCUCCAAAACUGCUAGUCUAGAGUUCGAGAGAGGUGAGUGGAAUUCCGAGUGUAGAGGUGAAAUUCGUAGAUAUUCGGAGGAACACCAGUGGCGAAGGCGGCUCACUGGC